UUGAAGAAGAAGUUGGAAAGCUCAAGGAUAAAAAACAAAUCGUUGAGCACACUGUGGAGGAAGCUGUUAGGCGCAAUCCAGUAGAAGUUGAAGCUGUUGUUAAGAGUUGGUUUGAUAAAGUGAAUGAUGUCACUAAAGAUGCUAGUAAAAUUCUUCCUCGACGUGAAGACAAAUCAAAAGAGGAGGGAAAAGCGAACAAUCAAAGGUGCUUCAUGGGAUUGUGUCCU
Molecule: unclassified non-coding RNA, 227 nt
Filed under: Hevea brasiliensis (rubber tree)
Lineage: Eukaryota; Viridiplantae; Streptophyta; Magnoliopsida; Malpighiales; Euphorbiaceae
Source: RNAcentral